RNAcentral lists this ribosomal RNA (572 nucleotides) under Geobacillus sp. Sah69. Its description in RNAcentral is "bacterial LSU rRNA". It matches the Rfam family "Bacterial large subunit ribosomal RNA", at positions 2356 to 2925 of the family's 2925-position model. The record is from RNAcentral. Lineage: Bacteria; Bacillati; Bacillota; Bacilli; Caryophanales; Anoxybacillaceae.
GGCACAAGGGAGCUUGACUGCGAGACGGACAGGUCGAGCAGGGACGAAAGUCGGGCUUAGUGAUCCGGUGGUUCCGCAUGGAAGGGCCAUCGCUCAACGGAUAAAAGCUACCCCGGGGAUAACAGGCUGAUCUCCCCCAAGAGUCCACAUCGACGGGGAGGUUUGGCACCUCGAUGUCGGCUCAUCGCAUCCUGGGGCUGUAGUCGGUCCCAAGGGUUGGGCUGUUCGCCCAUUAAAGCGGUACGCGAGCUGGGUUCAGAACGUCGUGAGACAGUUCGGUCCCUAUCCGUCGCGGGCGCAGGAAAUUUGAGAGGAGCUGUCCUUAGUACGAGAGGACCGGGAUGGACGCACCGCUGGUGUACCAGUUGUCCCGCCAGGGGCACCGCUGGGUAGCUAUGUGCGGACGGGAUAAGCGCUGAAAGCAUCUAAGCGUGAAGCCCCCCUCAAGAUGAGAUUUCCCACCGCGUCAGGCGGGUAAGAUCCCUCGAAGAUGACGAGGUCGAUAGGUCCGAGGUGGAAGCGUGGCGACACGUGGAGCUGACGGAUACUAAUCGAUCGAGGGCUUAACCUAA